UACGAAGGGUGCAAGCGUUAUCCGGAUUCAUUGGGCUUAAAGGGCGCGUAGGUGGCCUUAUAAGUCAGCGGUGAAAUCUCUGGGCUUAACCCAGAAAUUGCCAUUGAUACUGUAGGGCUUGAGUAUAGUUGCCGUUGGCGGAAUAUGACAUGUAGUGGUGAAAUACAUAGAGAUGUCAUAGAACACCGAUUGCGAAGGCAGCUGACGAAACUAUAACUGACACUGAGGCUCGAAAGUGCGGGGAUCAAACAGG
RNAcentral lists this ribosomal RNA (253 nucleotides) under uncultured bacterium. RNAcentral describes it as "partial 16S ribosomal RNA". It matches the Rfam family "Bacterial small subunit ribosomal RNA", at positions 524 to 776 of the family's 1533-position model. The record is from RNAcentral.